AGCAGCCGCGGUAAUUCCAGCUCCAAUAGCGUAUAUUAAAGUUGUUGCAGUUAAAAAGCUCGUAGUUGAAUUUCGGGGUUAGUAGGUUGGUCAUGCCUCUGGUAUGUACUGGUCUCACUGAUUCCUCCUUCCUGAUGAGCCGUAAUGCCAUUAAUUUGGUGUUGCGGGGAAUUUGGACUGUUACUUUGAAAAAAUUAGAGUGUUUAAAGCAGGCUAACGCUUGAAUACAUUAGCAUGGAAUAAUGAAAUAGGACGUUCGAUCUUAUUUUGUUGGUUUCUAAGAUUGACGUAAUGAUUAAUAGGGAUAGUUGGGGGCAUUAGUAUUCAAUUGUCAGAGGUGAAAUUCUUGGAUUUAUUGAAGACUAACUACUGCGAAAGCAUUUGCCAAGGAUGUUUUCAUUAAUCAAGAACGAAAGUUAGGGGAUCGAAGACGAUCAGAUACCGUCGUAGUCUUAACCAUAAACUAUGCCGACUAGGGAUCGGAUGAUGUAAUUUUUUAAUGACUCA
This 507-nucleotide ribosomal RNA is filed under the name uncultured Glomeraceae. RNAcentral describes it as "SSU rRNA". It matches the Rfam family "Eukaryotic small subunit ribosomal RNA", at positions 569 to 1078 of the family's 1831-position model. Lineage: Eukaryota; Fungi; Glomeromycota; Glomeromycetes; Glomerales; Glomeraceae. The record is from RNAcentral.